UACGAAGGGGGCUAGCGUUGCUCGGAAUCACUGGGCGUAAAGGGUGCGUAGGCGGGUCUUUAAGUCAGGGGUGAAAGCCUGAGGCUCAACCUCAGAACUGCCCUUGAUACUGGGAGUCUUGAGUAUGGUAGAGGUUGGUGGAACAGCAAGUGUAGAGGUGAAAUUCGUAGAUAUUUGCUAGAGCACCAGUGGCGAAGGCGGCCAACUGGACCAUAACUGACGCUGAGGUGCGAAAGCGUGGGGAGCAAACAGG
Molecule: ribosomal RNA, 253 nt
Filed under: uncultured bacterium
Lineage: Bacteria
Description: partial 16S ribosomal RNA
Rfam family: Bacterial small subunit ribosomal RNA
Source: RNAcentral